AGUUCGGAUUGCAGGCUGCAACCCGCCUGUAUGAAGUUGGAAUCGCUAGUAAUCGCGGAUCAGCAUGCCGCGGUGAAUACGUUCCCGGGCCUUGUACACACCGCCCGUCACACCAUGAGAGUCGGGAACACCCGAAGUCCGUAGCCUAACUUAUCUGAGAGGGCGCGGCCGAAGGUGGGUUCGAUAAUUGGGGUGAAGUCGUAACAAGGUACC
RNAcentral lists this ribosomal RNA (213 nucleotides) under uncultured bacterium. Its description in RNAcentral is "partial 16S ribosomal RNA". It matches the Rfam family "Bacterial small subunit ribosomal RNA", at positions 1290 to 1500 of the family's 1533-position model. The record is from RNAcentral.